RNAcentral lists this long non-coding RNA (1667 nucleotides) under Betta splendens (Siamese fighting fish). RNAcentral describes it as "lncRNA (ENSBSLG00000006617.1)". The record is from RNAcentral. Lineage: Eukaryota; Metazoa; Chordata; Actinopteri; Anabantiformes; Osphronemidae.
AACCUGCUAAACUACGAGUGGACGUGUGUAGGCUGUGCUCCACUUUUCCUGAACUCCUGAUUACAGUUGCCACAGGCCCUGAGCAAUGGUUUUCUCUUUUUUUUUUUUUUGUUCCACCCAACUCUUUGCUCAAUCAGUACUUGAACUUGGAGUGUGGCGCACAGACCAGAGGCUGCAGUGUGUGUAUGAAAUCCACCGCUGGAUCAAACUGGAUUGUUUAAGCCUGCUGAUUGCUAAAGGGAAGAGACAUUUCAGCACUUGCACCUAGUCAAAUGUUUUGUCUUGAUACAUUUAUAAAUCUUACAUCAUCUAUAUAAAAGGAAUGUAAUAGUUCACUGCAACUAAUUCAAGCGCUCAGUCAUUGUUCAUCCUUGUUCUCUUUGUCCGAAGGUUCACGUAUUUGCCUGACUUCUCACUGUAAACACAAUGGCAAAAACAUCAGAGGUCCGUGGGCCGGGGAUGUUUAUAUGAGCGGAGAGCCUGGAGAUGGAGCAGAGAUAUGAGUGCUGAUCUGUGAAAGGAACCACCACUGCAUCGCCACGACACACAAACACCAUCUGGUUGCCUCUCGCCAGUAAGAAAAGACCUCACACCUGCUCAGCUCGCAGCAACGCGCAGAGAAUCACUGGGAAACGUGACAUCAUCAGGUGCAGCCCAGUUCCUCUGUUCCUGUCUGACUCUUCCUGUGUUUGGUGACACCAGCUCCUCAGAGGGCCUCAGUGGAGAUGGGUCGGUUCCAGCACUGUCUAUUCCCUUUUUUGUGCACGAGAGGUUCAGGGAAGUCUAUUUGGAUGUGAGACCCUUGAAAAGUAAAUUAAUGAAUGUAUUUAGAUUGAUUCAAAAUAGUGUGCUUAAUAAUACAGAGGGACUUAAUUGUGCCUGUAAAUUUGCUGAUCUUCACUAAUGUACUGUAACACAGAGUAAAGUGUUUAAAUUUCUGGUGGUUUGGUGGUCUGGUGUUUAAAACAGUGUAAUGAAUUUUAUUCAUUACACUUCAUUUAUUUUGUUACUAUAAUUUUACACGUUUAAUAUUGUACAUAGUAUAGUAUAUAAAUAUUGUUUAUAAAUAUUUUACAUUAUCCUAUCUGUUAAAUAUUGCAAAAAACAAAUGCAAUUGCACUGUAAACUUUAAUUUAUGCAUAUUUUGUAUUACAAGCUACAAAGUAACUGUUUUUUGUUUGUGUUUUAAAAUAAUCAUAUAUUUCGUUAAAUACAUAGAGAGGUUAUGUGUCGGUGUUUUGUUUGUCGGUGCUGCUUUCAGGGCCCAGUAGCCGCCCUGCUCUAUAAAAUGAGAUGAGAUCCGCGAAAGACACAGACAACUGCUCCUGGGGCUCAGAUAGCAGCGGCCGGCUUUGAAGUGGUCCUCUCAUGUCACUGAAACAGAGUUCAAGUUUGUUCACAUUGGGGGUUUGCUCCACAGCAGCUCACUGACGCGUUUCAAUUCACUUGCACUGUGUAUUGUUUGUAAUGUAUUUGGGAUGUGAAACAUAUUCAGCCCUAAAUCUAAUUCAAGAUGCAGGGUCAGUAUUGAUAAGGACAAAUAUUUAAUUAAUAUAAAAUUGAAAAAAAAAUUCUAUAUCCUUCGAAAAAUAAUGUAGAUUUUUAAACACUAUGAGUUUUACAAUAUAAAAAAUAAAUUGCAAUAUUCGGAUGAUGGACUUGAAAGA